This 253-nucleotide ribosomal RNA is filed under the name uncultured bacterium. RNAcentral describes it as "partial 16S ribosomal RNA". It matches the Rfam family "Bacterial small subunit ribosomal RNA", at positions 524 to 776 of the family's 1533-position model. The record is from RNAcentral.
UACGUAGGGCGCAAGCGUUGUCCGGAAUUAUUGGGCGUAAAGAGCUCGUAGGCGGUUUGUCGCGUCUGCUGUGAAAACUCGAGGCUCAACCUCGGGCUUGCAGUGGGUACGGGCAGACUAGAGUGCGGUAGGGGUGACUGGAAUUCCUGGUGUAGCGGUGGAAUGCGCAGAUAUCAGGGGGAACACCGGUGGCGAAGGCGGCACUCUGGGCCGGUACUGACGCUGAGGAGCGAAAGCGUGGGGAGCGAACAGG